Camarhynchus parvulus is the source of this 911-nucleotide long non-coding RNA. RefSeq lists it as uncharacterized. The transcript has 3 exons. The record is from RefSeq and is a predicted model, not a curated record. Lineage: Eukaryota; Metazoa; Chordata; Aves; Passeriformes; Thraupidae.
GCUGGACUAUGAUUGGCCAUUAAUUAAAAACAACGACAUGAAACUAAUCAAAGAUGCACUUGUUGCAUUCCACAGCAGCAGGUAAUUAUUGUUUACAUUUCCUUUCUGAGGCUCUUCAGCUUCUCAGGAGAAAAGUUCUUAGCAGAAAGAUUUUUCAUAAAAUAUUUCCAUGACAAUCUUGGGAGCGUUCAGUGCUGCUGGCCACGGGACGAGAGCUCUGUGUCCCCAGCGGAGGGGCUCCAACCCUCCCCAUGACUCUGCUGGCUGCAGGGCAGAGAUGUUUCUUGGCUUUUUUGGGUGCAGAUGGGGGUUUGGCUCACAAACAUCACUGCAGGGGCUUCCUGAGCCUGGUGUCACCCACCCUGUGCCUUGUGGGUGCUCAGGGAACAAGGAGAGGCAGUCAAAGCUGCCACGGAGGGGGAUGAAGACCCCCUGAGCCAGACCCGCGGUGGGCACUGAAGCCUCCAAAAGACUGGAGAUUUUUUGGAGCACCCCAAAAUCCAUCAAUCCCACCACAACCUCCUCCACUGAUGGAUCCAAGGUUUCUCCAGCAGCUCUGUGGCCCAGUGUUGCCAGCUCUCCUUUCCAGGCACACAAAAUUCAGUGUUUUGUACCAAAAAAAGCUUAAAUCAGCCCUCAGGGCUUCACUGGGGCUUUGCACAAGGGAGGUUUGGUUGGGGCUUGCUCUGUGCACGGCCUCCGAUCCAACACACCUCAGCUGGAUGGAUUUUCUCACACUUUGGACACAAAAAGGGGUAAAAUCCCCCCUUUUUUCCUGGAAUCAGCCACAACUCCUCCGUCUGCCCCAUCCCAAGCGUUUCCCCAGCUCCAGAACCACCCCAGAUGUGGCUGGAAGAGGGAUCACCCUUCCUGGAGACCCAAUCCCAGUGAAGCAAGUUGAAAAUGGGAGA